Molecule: long non-coding RNA, 3826 nt
Organism: Syngnathoides biaculeatus (alligator pipefish)
Lineage: Eukaryota; Metazoa; Chordata; Actinopteri; Syngnathiformes; Syngnathidae
Exons: 5
Source: RefSeq, a predicted model, not a curated record
CCCUAAAUCACUUGACAAGGACACUGAAAUACGAGAAUCACUUCUUUUUUUUUUUUAUUUCAAAGUUGUAAUGUGGGACAUUCGGCGCUGCGUUAUCUCUUUCGCUAGUUAAUUGAGAUGUCAAAAUGAUUUAGUGGAGAAACACAGACACACAGAAGAACUCGCCCUUACUGCACUCCCAUCUCAUCUAGCGUACAGUAAACCCCCCCCCCCAAAAAAAAUCCAUUGUUUUUAAAAAAUAGCUUUAGUGAUACAUAGCUACCUUGACUCUAGCUGCCACUGACAUUCUGCCGUUAACUAUAAUAAAUUAAUCACGUUGCAAAAGAUAGCUUUGUUUGUACUCUAUGUACAAGUCAUUUAUUUCCCCCGGAACAUUUCAAGCAGUUACUCUCAAAGUUUGGUACGCAAACUCCUUUUAGUUAUAAAUGAAAGAAUCACGGCCCAAAUACAGUUCAGUUUUUUAACUUUCAGUUCAAUACAUUUGCCUUUAAUAUUUAACAACCAUUUAUUUUUAAAGAUAUAUUUAGAAGGAUAAUAAUCAAGUUAUGUGCAAUAGAUUUUGACAGAGUUAUAAUUGAAGUACAAGUGCGGCAUUAAUGUUCAAAUAUUACUUUGGCUUAAAAAAAAUAUUGGUUAUAGGACACUCUAACCCACAGGUGUCAAACCCAAGGCCCGGGGGCCAGAUUUGGCCCGCCACCUUAUUUUAUCUGGCCCACGAAGGCAAAUCAUGCUUGUUAACUUCCAUUAUUCUUGUUAAAUCUGUACUAGAAUUUAAAAUUUUCAUACCAUGAAUGAUAAAGUUGAGGUAUUGCGGCCCCAUCACGGCGCUCUGAGGGAAACCAUCACUACAAUGUGGCCCGUGACAAAAAUGAGUUUGACACCGCUGCUCUAAGCUCUGUCUAGUAUUUGAUGAACACUUGGGAUACUAUGGGAGUCCAUUUUAAUGUUGGUCAUGGUGGUGGACCCAAAAAAAAAUCCGCCAUCCGCCAUCUUGAUACUCCCAAAACAACCAUCCCGACCUGAGCAGGGACAGCGAUUAACUGAGUUAAUUGCCAGUUUGGUGGCUGUGAGAAAACAUUCCACAGGUAAGUUAGAAAGAUUUACUUUGACACUGUUCAAGUUUGUUAGUAAAGGUUUUUAUAUUUUCUGAUGAGCUUAAUUCACUCGGACAAAUCUUUGUUUACGGUUGUUGACUCUCUGCUUCACCUUUAUAGGCUGACGGGUUUUCCCGAAAAAGCGAUGUAAAUAUUUUCCCAAACUUCAUCAAUGGAUAAGUACAAAAACACAUUUUCUGUGAAAUUUUUUUGGAUGAAUUGCAUAAUACAGAACUCUGCAAAUUGAAUUUGAUUUUCAAAUCCGAGGAAACAAGUUAAAAUUUUCUGUCUGAAAUAUGACGUCACAGAGACAACAAAUGAAUAUUGCGUUUAGCGUGUAUUUGCCCAUUGCGAGUCCUUAUUUCCAAAAAUAUAUCAAACUGAUUUGACUUGAAAUGUAAUUUUUUUUAUGACAAAAAAUGCUUAGGUUUUUUUUGCUGUGUUAUGAUGAUAGUGCUUCACAGCGUAUUUUGGGAAAAGUUAACAUGUCACGGAAAUCAGGUCCGAUGUAAUUUAUGGAAGGUUUCUUGGUAGUCACGGUGUUAUGUCUUUCCUUUACACUUAGCCUUUUUUGUUUGAAAUAAAAAUCCUUCAUGUUACCAGAACUGAAAAAAAAAAUAUCCAGCUCACACGACCAGUUUUAAUUCUACAUGCCAAACUUUGAGGAAAAACCCCCACCAUAAUCCAACCUGUGUAAACCAUGUCCUCCAGACGUUUUGGGAGUACCAAGAUGGCGGCCAACUGGUUUCAACCAAUCUCCAUAUUGCUAGAUGUGGAUGCGCGAUCCAGUUUUUUUUUUGUUUGUUUUUUUUAGGUCAGUCGUUGGAGAGUUGUGCGUUUUUUUUAGACGCGCGAAUUAGUGUAAAAAAAAAAAUUAGGACCAAAGAAGAGCUUGUACCCCCUCUUGUGGUUGUGCAUGUAUGCACGCUGCCUAUAAAUUAUCCCAGCUGGGAUCUUCAAGUGCUACGUUAGCAGUUUUUGGAAAUUAAAUAGAUGGACGCCUUCAUAUAGACAGGUGGUCACAGUGAUGAACUGGUCGUUGCACCUCCUUUGUCAUGAUUGAACCUCACCGGGGGGGAAAAAAAAAUCAGCAUUUGACGCAUUGAACGUAGUGAACCACGAUUUGGGGUAUAAGGUUACAACAGACAACAGCAAAUCCACAGCUUGGACUUUAACGUGGCGACAGCGAGCCAGGAAAAAAAAAUGUGGAAAGGCCUCCGGGACAGGCAGCGGCGAAGAGGCGAAUCUUUGAGGGAAAACCUGAGCGGGUGGUGAUUUUUGUGCGGUGAACCGCAAGCGCGAGCUAGCAUCCGAAGAUCCGUCCCGGAUCGUGAUUGUCCACGGCUAAUCACCGGAGGUCCAACGUGCCUGUACUUCGUCCUCAGUCAUUUGCAUUCAGCUUUGCGCUGACCUGUUGGCUUGGGCUUCAGGAGCUGUGCUGAAACUAUUUUGGAUGAUCAACAUCUGGAAAUUUAAAAACAGUUGUCCAUCCCUCAUACGAAAACGACUAGCAAACAUAAGCAAAGGGACCUCAGUGCAAAUAUGUCAACGUAACAGCCGGAUGGCCCGUAUCCCGGAAUCCGGGAAUCGGGGCGCACGUCCUCGCGGCGCCUGUUGGGUUGGGGAUUAUCUGUCAACUGGUUUGGGAGCUCCGCCGGCGGAACCGUCCGACUUUCACGGGGGAGGGUGUUUUUUUUUUCCCCUCGCUUCGCUCCACAGCUACUCCUGCUGGAAAGAGAAAUGAGUAACAUUGCUGGCGCUGCCAUCCAGGACCGAGCACUCAACUUUCCCGUCCCCAUCUGCUUUUGCUCCAAAACGCAGGAGUGCAUUUUAAGAGCCAUUUUCUUGACUAAAACAGAAGCCUUCGGAUGAUGGGAUGCAAAGGUGACCAACUAUUAAGUGCACCAUUCCUCGCCGCAUGACAUUGAUCCAGUCAUCCGGCGUGAAGGCCGUCCUGACGCCGGACAGUCCAAGGUCAUCCGGGGGCCCGAUUUUCGAUUCAACAGCAGGAGCCUCUUUUCACGCGCGCUGACCCACAUAAGGCACAUUCCAUUUUUCGUUAAACGGACAGCGCCGCACAGAAGAAGCUUCUGGUGAUUGGAAUGCGAAGUGACGACUGCUAAAUUCAUUAGUCCCUCCAACAUUUCAUGUAAAGACUCGCCACACGAGACGCUUCAGUUAACUGCCAACAUCCUGUACUCUAUACGGAGGAGGCACAGUACACACGAGUUCCUCAUUACCGUCCUUAAAGUCAGACUAUUAAUAGACACCUCAGUGGAACAAGGGUCGUGACAUUGUAGUAAUAAGACAAAAAUGUAAAAAAAAAUAACAUUUUAAAUGCAAUAACACAUUAAGGCUUUUAACCAACGUGCUGUAACGUGCGUCAUUUGCAGUAGUUUACCUUGAAAGUCUACCAGUCAUGGCCGCAUUAAUGGACCGGUCGGGCCUCUUGGGGGUCAGCUAAACCAUUAGCCCGGACCCAGGAAUCCUCGCCGUGCUCUGCCCGUCGCUCCAGACCGGAUCUGAUUUCACACUCAGAAGCUUCCGCAUAGUCCCCCCCCCCCAAAAAAAAGGAAAAGUCAACAAGUUGAUUUUGUCUGAAUGCCUCCAUUAUUUGGGUAGUUAAUAAAUAAAUACAUUAAUUAAUUAAUUAGCUGAUUAAUCAAUUAAUUAGGCAAAUAAAUAAAAAUUGGGACUGUAUAAUAAAUUUUCAGUGUCCUAAAUGUGUCCCA